This is a long non-coding RNA of Dreissena polymorpha, 2804 nucleotides long. RefSeq lists it as uncharacterized. Lineage: Eukaryota; Metazoa; Mollusca; Bivalvia; Myida; Dreissenidae. The record is from RefSeq and is a predicted model, not a curated record. The transcript has 2 exons.
GUAAAAGUCUUAGAACACCUUUAUUCAUGCACAAAUAGGUUGACAGUUAAAGUCUUAGGACACCUUUAUUCAUGCACAAAUAGGUUGACAGUAAAAGUCUUAGGACACCUUUAUUCAUGCUAGAAGCCACAUGUAUCAAACAAACAGGUUGACAGUUAAAGUCUUAGGACACCUUUAUUCAUGCUAGAAGCCACAUGUAUCAAACAAACAGGUUGACAGUUAAAGUCUUAGGCCACCUUUAUUCAUGCUAGAAGCCACAUGUAUCAAACAAACAGGUUGACAGUUAAAGUCUUAGGACAUCUUUAUUCAUGCUAGAAGCCUUGGUAACAUGUAUCAAACAAACAGGUUGACAGUUAAAGUCUUAGGACACCUUUAUUCAUGCUAGAAGCCACAUGUAUCAAACAAACAGGUUGACAGUUAAAGUCUUAGGACAUCUUUAUUCAUGCUAGAAGCCUUGGUAACAUGUAUCAAACAAACAGGUUGACAGUUAAAGUCUUAGGACACCUUUAUUCAUGCUAGAAGCCACAUGUAUCAAACAAACAGGUUGACAGUUAAAGUCUUAGGACAUCUUUAUUCAUGCUAGAAGCCUUGGUAACAUGUAUCAAACAAACAGGUUGACAGUUAAAGUCUUAGGCCACCUUUAUUCAUGCUAGAAGCCACAUGUAUCAAACAAACAGGUUGACAGUUAAAGUCUUAGGACACCUUUAUUAAUGCUAGAAGCCACAUGUAUCAAACAAACAGGUUGACAGUUAAAGUCUUAGGACACCUUUAUUCAUGCUAGAAGCAUUGGUAACAUGUAUCAAACAAACAGGUUGACAGUUAAAGUCUUAGGACACCUUUAUUCAUACUAGAAGCCACAUGUAUCAAACAGGUUGACAGUUAAAGUCUUAGGACACCUUUAUUCAUGCUAGAAGCCUUGGUCACAUGUAUCAAACGAAUGGGUUGACAGUUAAAGUCUUAGGACACCUUUAUUCAUGCUAGAAGCCACAUGUAUCAAACAAACAGGUUGACAGUUAAAGUCUUAGGACAUCUUUAUUCAUGCUAGAAGCCACAUGUAAGACACAUUUAUGAUUAAAUUUGGCUUGAAUGGUGAUCAGGACAAUAUCAAGGUCAAGUUAAAACCGGUGUCAUAUGUGUCCUAAAACUAGAUUAAAUCUGGUUACAUCUACAGAAUCAUCAUUUAUGAUACAAUUCUGAUGAAACAAGGUCAAAAUGUUUAUGGUUACAAUAUCCAAGGCUAUUGCUUGGUUAUGCAUGUCCCAAAACUAUAGGUCAUCAGAUCAAAUCUUAUAAAAACCUCGUUGCCACUGUAGAUGUCACAUUUAUGUCUCAGUAUUGAUGAAACUUGGUAAGAUUUGAUAUCUUAAAAAUAUCUAGGCCCCAUUCGAAUCUGGGCCAUAUACAUCCAACAUAAAGUCACAAAUCAUGAGUUGAAAAACCCUAAUACUACUUUUAAAAGUCAAAUGUAUGGUUAUAUCUUGAUAAAACAUGGUCAUUUUUUUAACACUAUAUAUAAAAGGCCAUGUUUUAAUUUGAAUGUAGGUCAAGUGUGGUAAAAAUACUAGGUAACCAGAUCAAGUCUUCCACAGUGGUACACCUUGAACUCGUGAGAGUGCUUUAUGGCCAUCAUUUGUUUUACAUACAGAAUCUUGUGUUGCAUAUAAUGAACAAUCUACUUGAAUAAUCUCACUAAAAUGGGAGCUGCUUUAGUUGCUCAUUGACUGCUGCAAUCUAUAGGAUCUUUGCUAUUUUGUUAAAUAAUUGCUUGUGCUGCUUUUAAUCAGAAUCUCACAGAAGUACAUUUCAUUCAUUUUUGUUAUCCUGUUUUGCUUGUUUUUAUUUGGUAUGUUAUAAUUGUGUGUUUAUGAAACUAGUACGUAUUUGAUAUUUAAUGAAUUUCAUCGGAAAAAAACAGACACUUUUUGUUGUUCAUGUCACGAUAAACGCGUUUUACAAUACAGAUCAAAUUCCUUUCCUCUCUAUGCUCGUUAUAUAGACAAUAUUAGUUUGGUAUGCGAUAAAGUUGAUUUUUUUAUUCAUCACACUGAAAUUCUUCCUUUUAAAAACAGUGAUGGACUAAACUGAAGCAAGAGAUACGAGAUAAAGAUAGUAAAAAAACACUAUACAAACUUACUUGCCGUGACUGCAUAAUGUUUCUGGUCCAGUUUAUUGUGAAUAUGCCCCUUUCAAAAUACAUUAGUUUUGACAAAUAGGUCUGAGAUAUUGUAUAUUUGUAUUCCGAAUAUUCGUCUUCUGUUGCUCAGACAAUGAUGAGUAAAUUGUGUCUGAAAGGAUUCAAUACACUUCGUAAUGAGUAUAAUGCUGUUGUGGAUGAUACCUGUGAAAAACACAUGGUUAGAAUAGUUUUCUUAUGAAAACUUUGCUUUAGUGUGUAUUUUUGUGAAAACAGAAAGUUCAUAUGGAAUAGAAUAAACAAGUACCUGUUAUGAAUGCCUUGCAGUAGUGAGUAGAAAAUUCCUUUAAAAAACGAAUUACUUGAAUAGAAGUUUUGUUCUGGAUACGGUGAUGUUGCUAUGAUAAUAAUCCUUUGAACAAUGAAACCUUAAUAAAAAAAUAGGUUAGCUCAAAAUACCACGCUAUUGUUCAUAGUAUGCUGAAGACCGUGCAGCACAAAGUAUCAGAAUCAUCUACAAAUCCAAACAGUUCCAUUGGUAUAGAAUAGCUUCUUUGUGAAUACAAUUCUGUUAAGUAUAUUGUGAUCAUCUGAAAAACGAACACCUAGGGAUAGAUUAACCUUGUUCUGAAUACAAUUGUAGUGAAUAUCAUGAUCCUAUGAACGACAA